This is a long non-coding RNA of Hemicordylus capensis (graceful crag lizard), 449 nucleotides long. RefSeq lists it as uncharacterized. The transcript is spliced from 2 exons. Lineage: Eukaryota; Metazoa; Chordata; Lepidosauria; Squamata; Cordylidae. The record is from RefSeq and is a predicted model, not a curated record.
UCAAGCCAGGGCUACCUUCAGCACACCUGAGGUAGUUCAGCACUACCAACCAUCCACUCUCUGGCUCCAUUUGGGGCAGAAAUCACCAUACAGAUGAUAAAGUAAAAGGAAGAUGGCCCGAUUCCGACGAUACCACAGACAUCGUAGCAAGAAAGGUGGCACCAAGAAAGGGCAGGGAGGGCAGGUACGGUGUGGCAAGCGAGGUGGCAAGAAGAAACGAGGAGGCGAUGGAGGAGGCCAUGGAGGAGGCCGGGGUGGCAAGAAAAAAGGUCGUUACCACUACAGGAGGUGUGUGUUGUACUAAUCUGGCCUAUCUGGAACCGAAGAAACCUGCCUGGUGACAAGCAAUCUUUGUCUGAAGUGACAGCAGUUUCCAACCAAAGCAUCACCACUCUGGAGCAAUGUUGGAGAGAGCAUUUCCAAUUCAAUUAAAGCUUCUGUGGUUGGAA